AUGGUACUGCUGCCAACCGGGGAGCUGCGGGAGUACCCGCGCCCUGCCACAGCGGCGGAGGCGCUCGAGGACAACUCCGUGGCUGGGGACGCCGGGUGGUUCCUGUGCGACGCCGACGCGAUGGGCUUCGAGGGCCCCGUGGCCGCAGUCGCCGGGGCCGAGGAGCUCCGCCCGGGGCAGAUCUACUUCGUGCUCCCCGCCGAGGCCCGUAAGAACGGGCUACGGCGCGAGGACCUCGCCGCGCUCGCCGUCAGGGCGUCCGCGGCGCUCGUCGGUAAGGCCAACGCCAACGCCUCCGGCAGCGGCGGACGGAGGAGGCGCGCCGGCUCUGUUUCGCCGCUCGUGUUCGCCCCGCCGCCGGAGGUGGACGGGACCCUCGCGUACAAGACCGUGCAGGCGCUGGCGGCGAAGAGGCGGCCGGUGGCGCGCGCGAAGAGCGCCGGGAGGAUGCAGCCGCGCUUCUCACCUGACCUGACCGCCAUUCCCGAGUGCGAGUGA
Molecule: ribosomal RNA, 498 nt
Filed under: Triticum aestivum (bread wheat)
Lineage: Eukaryota; Viridiplantae; Streptophyta; Magnoliopsida; Poales; Poaceae
Description: partial small subunit ribosomal RNA
Source: RNAcentral